Long non-coding RNA from Herpailurus yagouaroundi (jaguarundi), 457 nucleotides. RefSeq lists it as uncharacterized. NCBI's taxonomy places the organism in Eukaryota, Metazoa, Chordata, Mammalia, Carnivora, Felidae. The transcript is spliced from 2 exons. The record is from RefSeq and is a predicted model, not a curated record.
GGAUAAAUAUGAAGAAAGGGCAGUAUUGGAUCCUACACAAGGAUAUAAAACCCUCCAUGUGACAAUGAAAGGGGUUAAAUCAUCUUGUGAUCCAGUAAAAAAUUUCCUUCAUACUUGGGAAUCAAUUUUCAUGCUCUUGUCUAAUCAUGAGAAAAACAUCAGCCAAAUCCCAACAGAGGGAUGUUCCACAAAACACUUGACUAGUACUCCUCAAAAUCAUCAAGCCAACAACAAACAAGGAAAGUCAGAAAUUGUCACAGGCGAAAGAAGCAUAUGGAAACACUACAACUAAAUGCAAUAUGGUAUCCUCAACAGGCUAGGACACAAGGUAAAAAUUAAGAAAAUCUGAGUGAGGUGUGCACUUUAAUUAAUAGUAAUGUAUCAAUAUCAGUUCAUUAGUUGUUACAAGUGUACCCUAGUCAUGUAAGAUGUUAAUUAAGGAAACUGUGUGUGGGAA